Molecule: ribosomal RNA, 441 nt
Filed under: uncultured bacterium
Lineage: Bacteria
Description: partial 16S ribosomal RNA
Rfam family: Bacterial small subunit ribosomal RNA
Source: RNAcentral
CCUACGGGAGGCAGCAGUGGGGGAUAUUGCACAAUGGGGGAAACCCUGAUGCAGCGACGCCGCGUGAGUGCAGAAGUAUUUCGGUAUGUAAAGCUCUAUCAGCAGGGAAGAAAAUGACAGUACCUGACCAAGAAGCCCCGGCUAACUACGUGCCAGCAGCCGCGGUAAUACGGGGGAUGCAAGCGUUAUCCGGAUUUAUUGGGUUUAAAGGGUGCGUAGGCUGUGAGGUAAGUCAGCGGUGAAAUGCCCCCGCUGAACGGGGUGAAGUGCCAUUGAUACUGCCUUGCUGGAAUGCGGAUGCCGUGGGAGGAAUGGGUGGUGUAGCGGUGAAAUGCAUAGAUAUCACACAGAACACCGAUUGCGAAGGCAUCUCACGAAUCCGCGAUUGACGCUGAUGCACGAAAGCGUGGGUAUCAAACAGGAUUAGAUACCCCGGUAGUC